Molecule: non-coding RNA, 108 nt
Organism: Xylariomycetidae sp. FL2044
Lineage: Eukaryota; Fungi; Ascomycota; Sordariomycetes
Source: the annotation of a GenBank genome assembly
GCCUUUAUAGCUCAGUGGUAGAGCGUUGCACUUGUAAGAGCGUUUUCACAGCGCUUGAAUAGCUUCAAGAUCAUGCAAAGGUCCGUCGUUCAAUCCGGCGUGGAGGCA